Molecule: long non-coding RNA, 1150 nt
Filed under: Heterocephalus glaber (naked mole-rat)
Lineage: Eukaryota; Metazoa; Chordata; Mammalia; Rodentia; Bathyergidae
Description: lncRNA (ENSHGLG00000043856.1)
Source: RNAcentral
GGCCUUCCGAGUUCAUCAGAUUCCACCUCUCUGGUUAUGCAUUCCCGAUUCGGGAUUACUUUUCACAUGGAAAACGAGAGCCUUUUGCAGAAGAUCGAGAUUGCUCGCGUUUCGUCACCGUGAAUGACAUAAUUUCCCUCUGUGCGGAGACCCAGCCCGGAGAGUCCGGUCCGCGUUUGCAGUUGGAGUGCUUCGGUCCACGGCCGUAGGGCUCGUUUUCAGCCUCCCGCCGACCUCGGAGGGGUUCCUUUGUUUUGACUGUGAGAGUGUGGCCCCGGCAGGGCCGGCAGGCCGCCGGCGGCGGUGAGGUUCUAGACCACGACUCGGAUCACGACUAGGCAGAAGCCUCCUGCGGUCCGGGCAGCGUGAGGCUCGGGCGCCCGGGUCCCCUCGGUGUGUAAACAGGUCCUGGCCCGGCCGCCGCACCCUGGUUCCCAGCGCCCGGCGCUGGUGGCUGUGGGGGCUUUAAUUUAACGUGCCUGGAGGGUCAGGCGUGCACCCAACAAGCUGGUCCUCUACCACCCGUAUUGUGGAGAAAAACCCACCACACCAUCUUUCUAGUUUUCACCUAGUGGUCGAUCCUGCAGUGGAAAUAGGUCAGACUCUGAGUGAAAAAGACAGCUGGUUCCAGCCAAUAACUCUUUGUUCAAGUGUUGUUUUGGAAAUCACCAAGCUGAACGUCGUUACGCGAAGCGCCACCUCCUCGCUGUCCAGCUCCCGCGGACGCCUUACUGGAUCGCGAAGUCAGUCCACACGGCAGACGGAAGGCCGCUUUCGCGGAAAGGCAGCGCGCUGCAAGGCCUGAGACCCGGCGCAGCACGCCACGCACGCCUCUCCUCCGCACACCUCCCACCCGAGCGGCCGACCCGCUCGCCGUCCGGAGAUCCCGAAGGCGCGCUUAAGGCUGUUGGUCCCCCACCCCCAACGUGAAUUGCCCCCCUUCCUCCUCACCCCCUUUCUGCUUUAGAUUGGGUGACUGCUAGCUCGCUUUCGGAUUUUCUCCCAGACACGUCCCUCGCCUCUAUUUGGGGGCUGCUCUGAUUGCUCCUUUGUUACCAGGCUGCAGUGGAGCUUUCCCCCUUUUCUUUCUCGAACGCCUAUUUGGCGGUAUCGGCGCGUCUCCCAGGCAACGGCCAGGGCUGCGGGAGCC